Molecule: transfer RNA, 72 nt
Filed under: Toxocara canis (dog roundworm)
Lineage: Eukaryota; Metazoa; Nematoda; Chromadorea; Rhabditida; Toxocaridae
Rfam family: tRNA
About the family: Transfer RNA (tRNA) molecules are approximately 80 nucleotides in length. Their secondary structure includes four short double-helical elements and three loops (D, anti-codon, and T loops).
Source: Rfam by way of RNAcentral
GCGGCAAUAACUCAGUGGCAGAGCCCCCGCUUCGCGUGCGGGGAGACCCGGGUUCGAUUCCCGGCUGCUUCC